This 510-nucleotide ribosomal RNA is filed under the name uncultured bacterium. RNAcentral describes it as "bacterial SSU rRNA". It matches the Rfam family "Bacterial small subunit ribosomal RNA", at positions 26 to 518 of the family's 1533-position model. The record is from RNAcentral.
AGGACGAACGCUGGCGGCGUGCCUAAUACAUGCAAGUCGAGCGAAUCUUUAGGAGCUUGCUCCUAUUGGUUAGCGGCGGACGGGUGAGUAACACGUGGGCAACCUGCCUAUAAGACUGGGAUAACUUCGGGAAACCGGAGCUAAUACCGGAUAAUCCUUUUCCUCACAUGAGGAAAAGCUGAAAGACGGUUUACGCUGUCACUUAUAGAUGGGCCCGCGGCGCAUUAGCUAGUUGGUGAGGUAACGGCUCACCAAGGCAACGAUGCGUAGCCGACCUGAGAGGGUGAUCGGCCACACUGGGACUGAGACACGGCCCAGACUCCUACGGGAGGCAGCAGUAGGGAAUCUUCCACAAUGGACGAAAGUCUGAUGGAGCAACGCCGCGUGAGCGAUGAAGGCCUUCGGGUCGUAAAGCUCUGUUGUUAGGGAAGAACAAGUACCGGAGUAACUGCCGGUACCAUGACGGUACCUAACCAGAAACGCCACGGCUAACUACGUGCCAGCAGCCGG